RNAcentral lists this long non-coding RNA (232 nucleotides) under Homo sapiens (human). RNAcentral describes it as "novel transcript, antisense to NRD1". Lineage: Eukaryota; Metazoa; Chordata; Mammalia; Primates; Hominidae. The record is from RNAcentral.
AGUAGAAUGGUGUGGAAAGAACACAGAAUCUGAAGACAAAAGGAAUAAUCUGAGACCCAGCUGGUACGACCUCAAGAAGUAAGGGGCUCUGGAUCAUGGAGUUGUCACCCUAAAACAGAGGUGAUAAAUCCUUCCUCUCAGGCCCUCCACAAAGAGCUGGGAUUUGAAUUCUUUGACGAAGCUCAGCAGAGACUCAAGGGAAAGGCCGUCCAUCAAAGCCUGGUACUUGUCA